Molecule: long non-coding RNA, 2741 nt
Organism: Vicia villosa (hairy vetch)
Lineage: Eukaryota; Viridiplantae; Streptophyta; Magnoliopsida; Fabales; Fabaceae
Exons: 4
Source: RefSeq, a predicted model, not a curated record
UUCACUAAAAGAAAAAAAACCACAACUCGUAAAAGCAAAACGCAAGGGAGGAAACCCUAAUCGUGAGUAAUCUCAAUCGACUAUUUCAUAAAUCCUCUCCGUCAACCAUUGUGUCAACUCCGUAUGGAGCAUCUGAAUUCUAGGUCGCAGUCUCCGUUUUUCCUCUCCCAAUUUCCUCAAAUUUCUCCAUUUUUUGUCUUUGAUUUCUACAAUUUCAGUUCACGUCGCUUUUAAUUUUCCAUUCUCACUCGAAUUCCUAAAAUAUGUUUGCUUUCAAUCAUCACAUUUGCAAGAUCUCAGCAAACCCUAUCUUUUAUGCGGCUAAAUCUACCAUUUCGGUUCACUUCGCUUGAUGCGGAAGCUCGACUCAAGGAUAAGAAAUCAAGAGAUUUUACGGCUUAGUGAAGAUCUGAAGGAAGCUCAAGAAAGCUUUAGAGAAAUAUGAUGUCGGAGACUAUUUCCCCAUAUAUGGCAUCUGCUUAGGCUUUGAACUUAUAUCGAUGAUCGUAAGCAAGAUGAGUUAGCUUUCUUAUGGCUGUUUGGAUGAGUCAGAUACAUGACUAGUGGCCAUAGCUAUACUAGUUAGGAUAUAUUAUUAUGUUGCCUUGUUCUAUAAAAAUUAGUGUUCAUGAUUUCUUUUUUAUUUCAAAUUUCCAAUACAGAGAAAGUAGAAAGAUUAGCUAUUUAUUUUAUGCAUAUGUUGGACACCUUUAACAAUAUUUAUGAUUUGAAAUGUUGCGAAAAGUUGAAGACUUUUGACAAGUUACAUCCGGUUCUGGUCCUUUUUUUUGUAUGUUUACAUGUUUGGCUGUUCUUUUUCUUGAUGAUAGGAUAAUAAUAUCCUUGAAGCAUUUGCAGCAAGAAACGAGUCAAGUAGCCUUCAGUUUGUGGACAAUACAAAUAUAGAAGGAUCUGUAUUUCAAAGUGUUCAUUGAUGGAGAGAAGAAGUUUCAAACAAAGGAUCAAGGGCCAGGUGAUUUGUACUUCAAGUGUGGGGUUUAUGCUGCACCUACUCAUAUUAGUAACUACAUGGAAUCAAGGUGGAGAGAUAUCAAAAUAUAUAAGAAAUUAUCACCUUUUACUAUUUCGUAUAUACUUUAUUUGUAUAAUAUAUAGGUUUGUACAAAUUUAAAGAUGGUUUGGUGAUAUAUAUUAAAAUUUCUUGUUAUGUUAAACUAGAAGAAAGUGUGAGAAAUACAAUGCAAUUAUUUCAUGUAUUCAUCCUCUAGUUAACAGUAGAACAAAAGAAGAUCAAAGAAUUGAGUAUUAAUCUAAACUAAAACAGAUUUUAUUACAGAUAACACUACUUGCAACAGGUUGGUAUGAUGGUCAAGCACGAAUUUGGCCCACUAAUGGUAAGCCAUUUCUUCUGCCUUUCCUUCUGUUUUGAGAUACUUAAUUUUGAUAGAUCUUAGUGUCUGAUUUAGUUGAAUUCGUGGUAUAUAUGAAGUCAUUGAUUAUAUUGUGUUGUUUUUUAUAUUAUGGUUUUCGUAUCCCCUGAUGUCAACGUUAUCAUUAAGUUGUUUAUCUAAACGCUAUUUUAGAUUCAUUUCAUGGAAAAAGCAUUUAAAUUAGUACUAGUAUAUGGAUAUAAACUUAUAAAAGCAAGUAACUAAUCAUUAUGAAAUGUUCAUUUCAACUUACUUCAAUAUGCUUCUCAUUCUUGUAAUAGUGUAUUGAAUUUUGCUUAAUUGAUUUGUUAAUCCCAUAACAAACUUUAAGUAUAUUGGAAUGUUCAUUUUAACCCUGUUUUCAGGUAUCCUUUCCCUGGUUUUAGAAAAUCAGCUUUCACAAUUUUGAAUCCCAGAUCUCAGUCUUGGAUUGAGAACUUCAUGAUUCAUGUCUAUCUCUUGCUGCAUUAUCAGCAGCUAUAUCUUGGCAUUUUGACUGUUCAGUUUGUCAAUUUUUGAUAUGUUUCCUGUUUAAUUUUUCCAUCUCUCUUUUCAAUUCUGGUGCUUUUAGCUUUCAAUUUUCUUGGUCUAAUCACGAUGGCCGACGAUGACUAUGAAGAUAUCAACAUGGGGUUCUCUCUAUCUCUUUCCCUCCCUCACUUAAUUAAUUUGGGUUUUCCCUCUUUGCUUCUUCGCUUUGCUGAAAUUAUCAUUAUUAUUGAAAUUGAAAUAUUUCUUAUGUUUAAAACCUUGCUGAUGAUGAUGAUGCAGUUAUGAGGAGGAGCCAGCAGAGCCUGAAAUCGAGGAAGGAGCAGAGGACAUCGAAAUACAUGACUAAGUAUGAGCGAGCUAAGAUUCUCGGUACCCGCGCUCUUCAAAUUAGAAAUUGACUAGCUUUAUUGACAACAGAAUCAGAAGCGGAGAACUCGGCCAGAGGUGUGAGAGCUGCAUGCAAUGAUGAAGUAAGAGUUUGAUAUUGUAAUUCUAAAAAGAGAAUUUAAAUUUAUUUGAAAUACAGUCAAGGUUUAAUAGUUUCUUACGUGAGCCUGUAACUGUCCAUAGCUGCAUUUCACCAUGUUCAUACUCUUCUGGAUUAAUGAUAAUAAGAAUGAUGGUGUCACCUUCUCUAGUAAUGUUAUCCACCAUCCAUUGCAAUGCCUUGAUGCUGCAUGGAGAGAAAUCCAUUGCUACACCUAAUCUCCUUGAACCUGCCAUUGAAUUGUUCACUUGUGUUGUAAAAUUAUGUGUGAAUAAGUUUUUUCAUGCUCUUUUGGAAUGAGAGUGUUCGAGGAACAUAACAUAAUCCAAAGCAAUAUCUGAGGAACAUAAUAUAUAGUUGAAUUGAAUCUC